AGAGUUUGAUCCUGGCUCAGAUUGAACGCUAGCGGCAUGCUUAACACAUGCAAGUCGAACGGCAGCACGAGGAGCUUGCUCCUUGGUGGCGAGUGGCGGACGGGUGAGUAACGCGUAGGAAUCUACCUUUUAGUGGGGGAUAACCCGGGGAAACUCGGGCUAAUACCGCAUAAUCUCUACGGAGCAAAGUGGGGGACCAU
Molecule: ribosomal RNA, 200 nt
Filed under: uncultured bacterium
Lineage: Bacteria
Description: partial 16S ribosomal RNA
Rfam family: Bacterial small subunit ribosomal RNA
Source: RNAcentral